Long non-coding RNA from Dromaius novaehollandiae (emu), 2070 nucleotides. RefSeq lists it as uncharacterized. The transcript is spliced from 4 exons. The record is from RefSeq and is a predicted model, not a curated record. Lineage: Eukaryota; Metazoa; Chordata; Aves; Casuariiformes; Dromaiidae.
GCGGCGGCGGAACCGCCGAGGGGGCCCGGGCCGAGCCGCGAAGCGCCGCGGGGCCCGCGGAAGCGCUCCGCGGCCGCGGGAACCCUCUUCCCUCCGCCCUGCGGGACCCGGCGGCGCAGGUGGGACGGGGCGGACGGGGGCGGAGCGGCCCGCGGCGGCGGUGCGCGGGGAGAGGCGCGGGGCAGAGGGAGAAACGGGAUCUUUCCUCUAAAACCGCCCCCCCCCCCCCCCCGCCCAAAGCCGGGGGCGAUUCCGAGACUGCUUUUAACGGGGAGGCUGCCGCGAUGCCCCGAUGGGGCCGGCCGCGCCGAGGAGCCGUCCGGGACACCGCCGCGGUCCAGCUCUUACUCCGGAGGCUUCUGCCCGGGCUGCUCGGCAGGGGCAUGUGAGCGUACGGCGGGUCCCGCCUCCCCUUUGCCCCCGGAGCGGUUCAAAACGCAGCUGUAGCCCCAGCCCCGCCGCCGCCACGGCCCCGCCACGCCUAGGAGCCUCUUGCUGGCAAUAGCUGCCUCCUAAGCUGGGUCCUUCCCAGCGCAGCCUGCGGAGCCUCUAGCGCAGUCUCAAUACGCGCUGCACAAAGGUGCAGAAAAAAACAUGUCGGAAGACAGCGUCGUACGCGUAUUUCGCGUGAAACACUGCACUGACGUUGUAUAGAAGAGACUUUUACAAACACUGGCCGCAUAUCUUAAGCUCAGCCUCUGGGAUUAUUCCAGUUUCGUUUUGUUUUGAAAACUUGAAACGAAGCUGGCUAGAACCGCUCCGGAAAUUUCCUUAGCUGUGUAAAUCUAGUUUCUAGUAUUCCUGCAGGCACCACACGUUGCAACGCGAUCACGCGUCUGUGGACGGGGCACGCUGACCCUGCGGACAGUGCUAGCCGCCCACCCGGAGUGCUCUGUGGGGAAGACUGCUGCACCCGCACGUUUCUGCUCGUGAGGGUCCGCGAAGGUGAGCGAAGGUGAGCGAAGAAAUUCGGUGCGUGAGAAACUCGGGAAGAAAGGUGUAUAAAGCAGAAGACAAGACAUCUCAUCAGCUGAUUGCAGAGAGAGUUUUGCUAGCUGAGAAUUCAGUGAAUGUUUCUGGAUUUUUCACUUGGUGGCUGAGGAGAGAGAGCAGGCUGCACCUGCCCUACCUUUGAAUAAGAAAUGUGGCAGGAAGGCCAAAGCAUUUUUUUAAAGCUGACCUGCAAAUAGUUUGAAUUAAAUUAGUUUUGUCCUGCUUUUGUAAAGUCCAUGGCUUUAUAAGAAGAGAAGCACCAGGAGUUUUCUUUCCCUCUAGCCCACUUACCUUUGUAGAUCACCUUGAAAAUUAAUCAUUAGGACUACCAAACCUGAUCUUCCCAAGCUGGCUGGCAGACUACUGAGAAUGCAAAGAUCUGUAGACUGUUAGUCCAGACCACAAACUGCACUCAAAGUGGGGAGAAAUUAGAGGUUUGGCACUCCGCACGGAUCACAUCUACGAACAAAAGAUGUUCGAGCGAUUUGUGUUGCUGAACAGCUGAUCAGUGGCAUCCUGUCUCAGGGUGACAGCCAAGAAGACCCCUGCUCUACGUGCUGUAUAAAUAAGGCCUUUAAUAAUAAAUACAAUAUGUCUGCUUACCUUUUUUCCUCUUCCUCGUUACCCCGAAAACAUUUUUAACAGCUGUAUUCAAGCACCAGGAAUAAGAAUCAAGAUCUGCAAACACAGAGAUAGGAGGACUGUGGUGAAAUGGUUAAAAUGGCUGCUGUGAGACAACAGCUCGCUGUAGUACUGAAAUACGUUGUGUAGUGAAUUUGCACUAAUCUGUGCAUAACACCUGAAAGCAAUGAGGUAGCACUUUUUAUGGGAUUAGAAGCAGAAUCGAAAUAUUCUCUGUGGCUCCUGACUGCGGAGGCUGUGGAGACAGGAGGUGAGUGCAGCAGACACGGAAGCGCACAGCCUGCUCCAGCCCAAGAGGACACGUGACUGCUGCUGGCGGGGCUGAUGGGUGCAUCAUCUCUCCCCUCCUGGGAGAGAGGGCAGACUACGUGGUGGCAGAAUUAGGCUUCUCCGUGCUCGCCAAACAGUUAUUAAUAUUAAAAUUUCAAUUUUUUA